RNAcentral lists this ribosomal RNA (585 nucleotides) under uncultured bacterium. RNAcentral's name for it is "partial 16S ribosomal RNA". It matches the Rfam family "Bacterial small subunit ribosomal RNA", at positions 355 to 1375 of the family's 1533-position model. The record is from RNAcentral.
UGGGGAAUUUUGGACAAUGGGCGAAAGCCUGAUCCAGCAAUGCCGCGUGUGUGAAGAAGGCCUUCGGGUUGUAAAGCACUUUUGUCCGGAAAGAAAUCCUUGUCUCUAAUACAGUCGGGGGAUGACGGUACCGGAAGAAUAAGCACCGGCUAACUACGUGCCAGCAGCCGCGGUAAUACGUAGGGUGCAAGCGUUAAUCGGAAUUACUGGGCGUAAAGCGUGCGCAGGCGGUUUGCUAAGACCGAUGUGAAAUCCCCGGGCUCAACCUGGGAACUGCAUUGGUGACUGGCAGGCUAGAGUAUGGCAGAGGGGGGUAGAAUUCCACGUGUAGCAGUGAAAUGCGUAGAGAUGUGGAGGAAUACCGAUGGCGAAGGCAGCCCCCUGGGCCAAUACUGACGCUCAUGCACGAAAGCGUGGGGAGCAAACAGGAUUAGAUACCCUGGUAGUCCACGCCCUAAACGAUGUCAACUAGUUGUUGGGGAUUCAUUUCCUUAGUAACGUAGCUAACGCGUGAAGUUGACCGCCUGGGGAGUACGGUCGCAAGAUUAAAACUCAAAUGAAUUGACGGGGUCAUAGCUGUUUCCU